This 379-nucleotide ribosomal RNA is filed under the name Thienemannimyia fusciceps. RNAcentral's name for it is "partial 28S ribosomal RNA". It matches the Rfam family "Eukaryotic large subunit ribosomal RNA", at positions 584 to 917 of the family's 3401-position model. Lineage: Eukaryota; Metazoa; Arthropoda; Insecta; Diptera; Chironomidae. The record is from RNAcentral.
GCAUCACCCAUUGGGAUGGAUAUGUACCCGAUCAACAACGGUUUCAUUUGGGAUACCUUUGGGACCCGUCUUGAAACACGGACCAAGGAGUCUAUCUAGUAUGCGAGUAAAUGGGCCAUUAUUUUGUAUGAAACCUAUUUGCGUAAAUAACUUGACUGUUUUAAUGGGAUUACGUGUACAUUUACUUUUUGUGUGUGCACUUCCAUCCCGGGGUAUUUUCAUCACAUAUAUGGGCAACUAUAUAUAGAAAAUAUACCAUGAGCAUACUGGACAUGACCCGAAAGAUGGUGAACUAUGCCUGAUCAGGUUGAAGUCAGGGGAAACCCUGAUGGAGGACCGAAGCAAUUCUGACGUGCAAAUCGAUUGUCAGAAUUGGGCA